This 505-nucleotide ribosomal RNA is filed under the name uncultured bacterium. RNAcentral's name for it is "bacterial SSU rRNA". It matches the Rfam family "Bacterial small subunit ribosomal RNA", at positions 791 to 1284 of the family's 1533-position model. The record is from RNAcentral.
UAGUCCUAGCCGUAAACGAUGUGCAUUUUGUCGGUGGAAGUUCGAUCUUCUGCCUGCCGAAGCGAAAGCGUUAAAUGCACCACCUGGGGAGUACGAUCGCAAGAUUAAAACUCAAAGGAAUUGACGGGGGCUUGCACAAGCGGUGGAGGAUGUGGUUUAAUUUGAUGAUACGCGGAGAACCUUACCUGGGUUUGACAUUCUAGGAUUAAGUCUAUGAAAGUAGAUGGAUUUUCCUUACGGAAGUAACUAGAACAGGUGUUGCAUGGCUGUCGUCAGCUCGUGUCGUGAGAUGUCGGGUUAAGUCCCUUAACGAGCGAAACCCUCAUGUUUAGUUGCCAACAGGUAAAGCUGGGAACCCUAAACAAACUGCCGUGCAUAACACGGAGGAAGGAGAGGAUGACGUCAAGUCAUCAUGGGCCCUUACACCCAGGGGCUACACACGUCCUACAAUGGCAUGUACAAUGAGAUGCAAGACCGCAAGGGUGGGAGCAAAUCUAUAAAGCAU